RNAcentral lists this ribosomal RNA (2834 nucleotides) under Staphylococcus aureus. Its description in RNAcentral is "LSU rRNA". It matches the Rfam family "Bacterial large subunit ribosomal RNA". The record is from RNAcentral. Lineage: Bacteria; Bacillati; Bacillota; Bacilli; Caryophanales; Staphylococcaceae. RNAcentral also lists the same sequence under 2 other names.
GAUUAAGUUAUUAAGGGCGCACGGUGGAUGCCUUGGCACUAGAAGCCGAUGAAGGACGUUACUAACGACGAUAUGCUUUGGGGAGCUGUAAGUAAGCUUUGAUCCAGAGAUUUCCGAAUGGGGAAACCCAGCAUGAGUUAUGUCAUGUUAUCGAUAUGUGAAUACAUAGCAUAUCAGAAGGCACACCCGGAGAACUGAAACAUCUUAGUACCCGGAGGAAGAGAAAGAAAAUUCGAUUCCCUUAGUAGCGGCGAGCGAAACGGGAAGAGCCCAAACCAACAAGCUUGCUUGUUGGGGUUGUAGGACACUCUGUACGGAGUUACAAAGGACGACAUUAGACGAAUCAUCUGGAAAGAUGAAUCAAAGAAGGUAAUAAUCCUGUAGUCGAAAAUGUUGUCUCUCUUGAGUGGAUCCUGAGUACGACGGAGCACGUGAAAUUCCGUCGGAAUCUGGGAGGACCAUCUCCUAAGGCUAAAUACUCUCUAGUGACCGAUAGUGAACCAGUACCGUGAGGGAAAGGUGAAAAGCACCCCGGAAGGGGAGUGAAAUAGAACCUGAAACCGUGUGCUUACAAGUAGUCAGAGCCCGUUAAUGGGUGAUGGCGUGCCUUUUGUAGAAUGAACCGGCGAGUUACGAUUUGAUGCAAGGUUAAGCAGUAAAUGUGGAGCCGUAGCGAAAGCGAGUCUGAAUAGGGCGUUUAGUAUUUGGUCGUAGACCCGAAACCAGGUGAUCUACCCUUGGUCAGGUUGAAGUUCAGGUAACACUGAAUGGAGGACCGAACCGACUUACGUUGAAAAGUGAGCGGAUGAACUGAGGGUAGCGGAGAAAUUCCAAUCGAACCUGGAGAUAGCUGGUUCUCUCCGAAAUAGCUUUAGGGCUAGCCUCAAGUGAUGAUUAUUGGAGGUAGAGCACUGUUUGGACGAGGGGCCCCUCUCGGGUUACCGAAUUCAGACAAACUCCGAAUGCCAAUUAAUUUAACUUGGGAGUCAGAACAUGGGUGAUAAGGUCCGUGUUCGAAAGGGAAACAGCCCAGACCACCAGCUAAGGUCCCAAAAUAUAUGUUAAGUGGAAAAGGAUGUGGCGUUGCCCAGACAACUAGGAUGUUGGCUUAGAAGCAGCCAUCAUUUAAAGAGUGCGUAAUAGCUCACUAGUCGAGUGACACUGCGCCGAAAAUGUACCGGGGCUAAACAUAUUACCGAAGCUGUGGAUUGUCCUUUGGACAAUGGUAGGAGAGCGUUCUAAGGGCGUUGAAGCAUGAUCGUAAGGACAUGUGGAGCGCUUAGAAGUGAGAAUGCCGGUGUGAGUAGCGAAAGACGGGUGAGAAUCCCGUCCACCGAUUGACUAAGGUUUCCAGAGGAAGGCUCGUCCGCUCUGGGUUAGUCGGGUCCUAAGCUGAGGCCGACAGGCGUAGGCGAUGGAUAACAGGUUGAUAUUCCUGUACCACCUAUAAUCGUUUUAAUCGAUGGGGGGACGCAGUAGGAUAGGCGAAGCGUGCGAUUGGAUUGCACGUCUAAGCAGUAAGGCUGAGUAUUAGGCAAAUCCGGUACUCGUUAAGGCUGAGCUGUGAUGGGGAGAAGACAUUGUGUCUUCGAGUCGUUGAUUUCACACUGCCGAGAAAAGCCUCUAGAUAGAAAAUAGGUGCCCGUACCGCAAACCGACACAGGUAGUCAAGAUGAGAAUUCUAAGGUGAGCGAGCGAACUCUCGUUAAGGAACUCGGCAAAAUGACCCCGUAACUUCGGGAGAAGGGGUGCUCUUUAGGGUUAACGCCCAGAAGAGCCGCAGUGAAUAGGCCCAAGCGACUGUUUAUCAAAAACACAGGUCUCUGCUAAACCGUAAGGUGAUGUAUAGGGGCUGACGCCUGCCCGGUGCUGGAAGGUUAAGAGGAGUGGUUAGCUUCUGCGAAGCUACGAAUCGAAGCCCCAGUAAACGGCGGCCGUAACUAUAACGGUCCUAAGGUAGCGAAAUUCCUUGUCGGGUAAGUUCCGACCCGCACGAAAGGCGUAACGAUUUGGGCACUGUCUCAACGAGAGACUCGGUGAAAUCAUAGUACCUGUGAAGAUGCAGGUUACCCGCGACAGGACGGAAAGACCCCGUGGAGCUUUACUGUAGCCUGAUAUUGAAAUUCGGCACAGCUUGUACAGGAUAGGUAGGAGCCUUUGAAACGUGAGCGCUAGCUUACGUGGAGGCGCUGGUGGGAUACUACCCUAGCUGUGUUGGCUUUCUAACCCGCACCACUUAUCGUGGUGGGAGACAGUGUCAGGCGGGCAGUUUGACUGGGGCGGUCGCCUCCUAAAAGGUAACGGAGGCGCUCAAAGGUUCCCUCAGAAUGGUUGGAAAUCAUUCAUAGAGUGUAAAGGCAUAAGGGAGCUUGACUGCGAGACCUACAAGUCGAGCAGGGUCGAAAGACGGACUUAGUGAUCCGGUGGUUCCGCAUGGAAGGGCCAUCGCUCAACGGAUAAAAGCUACCCCGGGGAUAACAGGCUUAUCUCCCCCAAGAGUUCACAUCGACGGGGAGGUUUGGCACCUCGAUGUCGGCUCAUCGCAUCCUGGGGCUGUAGUCGGUCCCAAGGGUUGGGCUGUUCGCCCAUUAAAGCGGUACGCGAGCUGGGUUCAGAACGUCGUGAGACAGUUCGGUCCCUAUCCGUCGUGGGCGUAGGAAAUUUGAGAGGAGCUGUCCUUAGUACGAGAGGACCGGGAUGGACAUACCUCUGGUGUACCAGUUGUCGUGCCAACGGCAUAGCUGGGUAGCUAUGUGUGGACGGGAUAAGUGCUGAAAGCAUCUAAGCAUGAAGCCCCCCUCAAGAUGAGAUUUCCCAACUUCGGUUAUAAGAUC